CCUACGGGGGGCAGCAGUGGGGAAUAUUCCACAAUGGGGGAAACCCUGAUGCAGCGACGCCGCGUGAGUGAAGAAGUAAUUCGUUAUGUAAAGCUCUAUCAGCAGGGAAGAAAAUGACGGUACCUGAGUAAGCAGCCCCGGCUAACUACGUGCCAGCAGCCGCGGUAAUACGUAGGGGGCAAGCGUUAUCCGGAUUGACUGGGUGUAAAGGGAGCGUAGACGGCAAGGCAAGUCUGGAGUGAAAGCCCGUGGACCAACCAAGGGACUGCUUUUGAAACUGUGUUGCUGGAGUGCAGGAGAGGUAAGCGGAAUGCCUAGUGUAGCGGUGAAAUGCGUAGAUAUUAGGAGGAACACCGGUGGCGAAGGCGGCUGACUGGACUGCAACUGACGUUGAGGCUCGAAGGCGUGGGUAGCGAACAGGAUUAGAUACCCUGGUAGUC
This 440-nucleotide ribosomal RNA is filed under the name uncultured bacterium. Its description in RNAcentral is "partial 16S ribosomal RNA". It matches the Rfam family "Bacterial small subunit ribosomal RNA", at positions 338 to 795 of the family's 1533-position model. The record is from RNAcentral.